Paramuricea clavata is the source of this 220-nucleotide non-coding RNA. NCBI's taxonomy places the organism in Eukaryota, Metazoa, Cnidaria, Anthozoa, Malacalcyonacea, Plexauridae. The record is from the annotation of a GenBank genome assembly.
CAAAUGUCAUCCUUUCUCGAGGAAAUUCCCACUCUGGUAUGAACGGUAGUUUGUGAAUUUGUUCGUGAAUAUCUUUGUUACUGUCCAACUUCUCAAUAUAGUCCGGUAAGGGAGGGAAGGAGAAAAGGUAAAAGCCGCCAUAAAGUUUCUUUCUUUUGUGCAGCACAUGACUUGAUGCGAUUAACAUGAUCAAGCACAUGAGUCCACUUCCAGCGGCGAC